This 253-nucleotide ribosomal RNA is filed under the name uncultured bacterium. RNAcentral describes it as "partial 16S ribosomal RNA". It matches the Rfam family "Bacterial small subunit ribosomal RNA", at positions 524 to 776 of the family's 1533-position model. The record is from RNAcentral.
UACAGGGGGCUCGAGCGUUAGUCGGAAUCACUGGGCUUAAAGGGUGCGUAGGUGGCUCGCCAAGUGCUUUGUGAAAUCCCACAGCUCAACUGUGGAACAGCAGGGCAAACUGGCGGGCUUGAGGCAGGUGGGGGCCGGAAGAACAGUUGGUGGAGCGGUGAAAUGCGUAGAUAUCAACUGGAAUGCCGAUGGGGAAGCCGUCCGGCUGGGCCUGUCCUGACACUGAGGCACGAAAGCGUGGGGAGCGAUCCGG